UACGAAGGGGGCUAGCGUUGCUCGGAAUCACUGGGCGUAAAGGGUGCGUAGGCGGGUCUUUAAGUCAGGGGUGAAAUCCUGGAGCUCAACUCCAGAACUGCCCUUGAUACUGGGAAUCUCGAGUCCGGGAGAGGUGAGUGGAACUGCGAGUGUAGAGGUGAAAUUCGUAGAUAUUCGCAAGAACACCAGUGGCGAAGGCGGCUCACUGGCCCGGUACUGACGCUGAGGUGCGAAAGCGUGGGGAGCAAACAGG
RNAcentral lists this ribosomal RNA (253 nucleotides) under uncultured bacterium. Its description in RNAcentral is "partial 16S ribosomal RNA". It matches the Rfam family "Bacterial small subunit ribosomal RNA", at positions 524 to 776 of the family's 1533-position model. The record is from RNAcentral.